CAUGUGAUCAUUUUUUAUGUUGUCCUGCGAGUGAGCUACAUUAAAAAUGUCACACCGUGAUCUCAUGUGCUCAUUUUGAUU
RNAcentral lists this non-coding RNA (81 nucleotides) under Plasmodium falciparum 3D7. The record is from RNAcentral. Lineage: Eukaryota; Apicomplexa; Aconoidasida; Haemosporida; Plasmodiidae.